Small nuclear RNA from Sorex fumeus (smoky shrew), 106 nucleotides. Lineage: Eukaryota; Metazoa; Chordata; Mammalia; Eulipotyphla; Soricidae. The record is from RefSeq and is a predicted model, not a curated record.
GUGCUAUUGCUCCAGCACAUAUACUAAGAUUGGAACGAUACAGAGAAGAUUAGGAUGGCCCCUGCGCAAGGAUGACACGCAAAUGUAUAUAUAUAUGUAUAUAUGU